Peromyscus maniculatus bairdii (prairie deer mouse) is the source of this 1000-nucleotide non-coding RNA. The record is from RefSeq and is a predicted model, not a curated record. Lineage: Eukaryota; Metazoa; Chordata; Mammalia; Rodentia; Cricetidae.
CUGAGGGAGAGGAACUUUGAAAAAGCCACCAGAAAGCUUCCUGACAGGAGAAUCUAAGGACUUCAUCAGGGCUCGGAGCACCCGGGCCUGUAGUCACCUGCUUGUGCAGAGCGGCGAGGGGAUGGCUACAGGCUUAAGUCACUUUGGUCUUUGGAUCCCGCUGUAGUCCAGAAAACAACAGGGAUGCUUGGGGCCACCGUCCUGCGUACUAUAGACUUGUAGACGAUGGAUCUCGAAUACUUCCAAAGAUGCUGUGGGCAGUGUCUGAGACAUCCUGAGCUGGGCGGUACCGGGCCACGGAGCUUUUCAAGAGUCUCCGGGAGCAUGCCUGUGACCAGCAUUAUUGUCACUGGGUUGCGGGGGCGGUGGGACAGACACACCUGACACAAGCAACGGACCCACCCGGUUCAGCAAGUGUCUGGCACAAAUGAUUCGAAAUGCUGGAAGUAUCAGCUAAGAUGGCCGACAGCAGCCGUCACCAUUGAGGGAGAAUCAGAAGACAGCAGGGCUGGACCGCUCUAAAGAGGAGAAGGGAUGAAGAGGGCGCCUGAGAAAUGAAGUGGAGAGACUGGCAAGGGCGCAGAGCAGAAGCAAGGGGAACAUCCUCAGUCCUGCAACUGCAUGGUAUGCACGUGCGGUGCGGGAGGCAGAAGCCUCUCCCAAGGGAAAGCAGUUUUAAGGACAAGAUUCCAAUGGAGAAAAAAACAUGGCCAUGAAUCCCCAUACAUCCAUCAGCCACUGCCUUAAUGAAACCGAGAAUCCUUCUCACAAAAUCAGUUCCUGUCAUCAGGUUGCCAAGAAACACCAAGAGGAACCUGAGAGCUCGUAUGUGGCCACAAGGCAGUCUCAGUUUCUCAUGCGUAGGAACUCGGUUUUCAACCAGCCUUAAGACAUACAAUCUGGGAACAGAGGGGUUACGCUGGGGAGGGGUGGCUGGGAGGAAAGGACGGAUGGAAAACUGCUUCCUGGAUGUAAAAAAAAACUUUUUUGUUCAAAAAGA